UGGAUCCAGACUUUGAUUAUGGCUCAGGACGAACGCUGGCGGCGCGCCUAACACAUGCAAGUCGAACGGAGUCAAGAGGAGCUUGCUUUUCUUGACUUAGUGGCGAACGGGUGAGUAACGCGUGAGUAACCUGCCCUGGAGUGGGGGACAACAGUUGGAAACGACUGCUAAUACCGCAUAAGCCCACGGAUCCGCAUGGAUCCGCGGGAAAAGGAUUUAUUCGCUUCAGGAUGGACUCGCGUCCAAUUAGCUAGUUGGUGAGGUAACGGCCCACCAAGGCGACGAUUGGUAGCCGGACUGAGAGGUUGAACGGCCACAUUGGGACUGAGACACGGCCCAGACUCCUACGGGAGGCAGCAGUGGGGGAUAUUGCACAAUGGGGGAAACCCUGAUGCAGCGACGCCGCGUGGAGGAAGAAGGUUUUCGGAUUGUAAACUCCUGUCGUUAGGGACGAUAAUGACGGUACCUAACAAGAAAGCACCGGCUAACUACGUGCCAGCAGCCGCGGUAAAACGUAGGGUGCAAGCGUUGUCCGGAAUUACUGGGUGUAAAGGGAGCGCAGGCGGACCGGCAAGUUGGAAGUGAAAACUAUGGGCUCAACCCAUAAAUUGCUUUCAAAACUGCUGGCCUUGAGUAGUGCAGAGGCAGGUGGAAUUCCCGGUGUAGCGGUGGAAUGCGUAGAUAUCGGGAGGAACACCAGUGGCGAAGGCGACCUACUGGGCACCAACUGACGCUGAGGCUCGAAAGCAUGGGUAGCAAACAGGAUUAGAUACCCUGGUAGUCCAUGCCGUAAACGAUGAUUACUAGGUGUUGGAGGAUUGACCCCUU
RNAcentral lists this ribosomal RNA (828 nucleotides) under uncultured bacterium. RNAcentral's name for it is "bacterial SSU rRNA". It matches the Rfam family "Bacterial small subunit ribosomal RNA", at positions 1 to 840 of the family's 1533-position model. The record is from RNAcentral. RNAcentral also lists the same sequence under 1 other name.